RNAcentral lists this ribosomal RNA (565 nucleotides) under uncultured bacterium. Its description in RNAcentral is "partial 16S ribosomal RNA". It matches the Rfam family "Bacterial small subunit ribosomal RNA", at positions 355 to 914 of the family's 1533-position model. The record is from RNAcentral.
UGGGGAAUUUUGGACAAUGGGCGAAAGCCUGAUCCAGCAAUGCCGCGUGUGUGAAGAAGGCCUUCGGGUUGUAAAGCACUUUUGUCCGGAAAGAAAUCCUUGGCUCUAAUACAGUCGGGGGAUGACGGUACCGGAAGAAUAAGCACCGGCUAACUACGUGCCAGCAGCCGCGGUAAUACGUAGGGUGCAAGCGUUAAUCGGAAUUACUGGGCGUAAAGCGUGCGCAGGCGGUUUGCUAAGACCGAUGUGAAAUCCCCGGGCUCAACCUGGGAACUGCAUUGGUGACUGGCAGGCUAGAGUAUGGCAGAGGGGGGUAGAAUUCCACGUGUAGCAGUGAAAUGCGUAGAGAUGUGGAGGAAUACCGAUGGCGAAGGCAGCCCCCUGGCAAGUACUGACGCUCAUGCACGAAAGCGUGGGGAGCAAACNGGAUUAAUNCCCUGGUAGUCCACGCCCUAAAANGAUGUCAACUAGUUGUUGGGGGAUUCAUUUCCUUAGUAACGUAGCUAACGCGUGAAGUUGACCGCCUGGGGAGUACGGUCGCAAGAUUAAAACUCAAAUAAUUGAC